Molecule: ribosomal RNA, 301 nt
Filed under: uncultured bacterium
Lineage: Bacteria
Description: partial 16S ribosomal RNA
Rfam family: Bacterial small subunit ribosomal RNA
Source: RNAcentral
CAGUAGCCGCGGUAAUACGUAGGGGGCAAGCGUUAUCCGGAUUUACUGGGUGUAAAGGGAGCGCAGACGGCAGUGCAAGUCUGGAGUGAAAGGCGUGGGCUCAACCCAUGAACUGCUUUGGAAACUGUAUAGCUUGAGUGUCGGAGGGGUAAGCGGAAUUCCUAGUGUAGCGGUGAAAUGCGUAGAUAUUAGGAGGAACACCGGAGGCGAAGGCGGCUUACUGGACGACAACUGACGUUGAGGCUCGAAGGCGUGGGGAGCAAACAGGAUUAGAUACCCGCGUAGUCCCUGUCUCUUAUAC